Long non-coding RNA from Maniola jurtina (meadow brown), 219 nucleotides. RefSeq lists it as uncharacterized. The record is from RefSeq and is a predicted model, not a curated record. The transcript is spliced from 3 exons. NCBI's taxonomy places the organism in Eukaryota, Metazoa, Arthropoda, Insecta, Lepidoptera, Nymphalidae.
AAUGAAAUAGUGAGUGCGAGAGGACUAAACUUCAUCGCCAGUGAGAAGAACAGAGGACACUGCACCGUCGGAGUCUUCCUCGACAUCGAGAAGGCCUUCGACCGCGUGUGGCAUGCCGGCCUCCUGGCGAAGCUCCUCUCGACCAACCUACCACCCGCGAUCGUGCGGCUGGUAGCAUCGUUCCUGGAGGGCAGGUCCUUCCGAGUAUCCGUGGAAGGC